UCCUUUUGAUAUCGAAUUUUCUUUCUUUUCUAUUCCCUUACCUCAACACAGAUAACAUCAUGUGGGGACUGGGGACAUUACCCGAUGGAUUUCCGGCAGCCGCCUAUGCAGCCUAUGCAGCCGGACGUGGUUACUCUGGAUAUCCAAGCUUCGGUUUGCCUUACCCUGCUGCUGGUGUAAUGAGUGUUGUAC
Long non-coding RNA from Rhagoletis pomonella (apple maggot), 192 nucleotides. RefSeq lists it as uncharacterized. The transcript has 3 exons. The record is from RefSeq and is a predicted model, not a curated record. Lineage: Eukaryota; Metazoa; Arthropoda; Insecta; Diptera; Tephritidae.